Molecule: ribosomal RNA, 645 nt
Filed under: uncultured Lachnospiraceae bacterium
Lineage: Bacteria; Bacillati; Bacillota; Clostridia; Lachnospirales; Lachnospiraceae
Description: bacterial SSU rRNA
Rfam family: Bacterial small subunit ribosomal RNA
Source: RNAcentral
AGUGGCGGACGGGUGAGUAACGCGUGGGUAACCUGCCUUAUACAGGGGGAUAACAGUCAGAAAUGGCUGCUAAUACCGCAUAAGCGCACAGUACCGCAUGGUACGGUGUGAAAAACUCCGGUGGUGUGAGAUGGACCCGCGUCUGAUUAGCUAGUUGGCAGGGCAGCGGCCUACCAAGGCGACGAUCAGUAGCCGACCUGAGAGGGUGACCGGCCACAUUGGGACUGAGACACGGCCCAAACUCCUACGGGAGGCAGCAGUGGGGAAUAUUGCACAAUGGGGGAAACCCUGAUGCAGCGACGCCGCGUGAGCGAAGAAGUAUUUCGGUAUGUAAAGCUCUAUCAGCAGGGAAGAAGAAAUGACGGUACCUGACUAAGAAGCACCGGCUAAAUACGUGCCAGCAGCCGCGGUAAUACGUAUGGUGCAAGCGUUAUCCGGAUUUACUGGGUGUAAAGGGAGCGCAGGCGGAAGGCUAAGUCUGAUGUGAAAGCCCGGGGCUCAACCCCGGUACUGCAUUGGAAACUGGUCAUCUAGAGUGUCGGAGGGGUAAGUGGAAUUCCUAGUGUAGCGGUGAAAUGCGUAGAUAUUAGGAGGAACACCAGUGGCGAAGGCGGCUUACUGGACGAUAACUGACGCUGAGGCUCG